AUGCUAUGGUCUUACGCUAUCACCUGGAGAACAGAGAAUUGCUGUGGUCCGCAGUUUGGAUCUGAACCUUUUGAACCAGAUGUAUCAAGUCAGGACACAAAAGGCGGUGGUCGAGUUCAUUUGGAUCGGUGGCCAAUAUA
Molecule: long non-coding RNA, 140 nt
Organism: Zea mays
Lineage: Eukaryota; Viridiplantae; Streptophyta; Magnoliopsida; Poales; Poaceae
Exons: 3
Source: RefSeq, a predicted model, not a curated record